This 513-nucleotide long non-coding RNA is filed under the name Mus caroli (Ryukyu mouse). RNAcentral's name for it is "lncRNA (MGP_CAROLIEiJ_G0004073.1)". The record is from RNAcentral. Lineage: Eukaryota; Metazoa; Chordata; Mammalia; Rodentia; Muridae.
GGCGCACGCGGGGAGGCGGCAGCGAGGGAGACAGCAGGCUCGGCGGGGGCUCCGCGGCGGAUCCCGGGGGCUCCUGCAGCGCCAGCGGGAACUGCAGCGAACCCGAGCCGCCCAGCAGGCUGUAGCACAGUCCACAGAGUUCACUGAAGUGUAACUUCCUAAACUGCUGUGAACAUGACAGCUGUGACUCAAAGCCUGCCAAGACACAGAGCCAGCCUAUAUGUCCAGCAGCAGAUGAAGAGAUAAAGAAAUCUGAUGAAUGAAACCACGACAUUUUUCAGAAAUAUUGAUGGAGCAGCAGGUCAUCGUGGCUUUCCCUGGGAACUCGGUCUGUUUGUCUCAGCCACAGGCUUGAAGCCCUCCCGGUCACUGAAUCCUCACACAUCCUGAAUCCUCCAUUCAACUCCUUCAGUUGUUCACGGAGGCCCUCUGUGCCCUCUACACUUGAGCUAUUUUAAUUUGACAUAAUUGAUAUAUUCCGGCACUACAAUUAAAUAGUACGUCUUUAAAUAA